CCGUCGAUAGCUCAGUUGGCAGAGCGGUGGACUGUAGAUCCAUAGGUCGCUGGUUCGACUCCGGCUUGACGGA
Molecule: transfer RNA, 73 nt
Filed under: Trichonephila clavata
Lineage: Eukaryota; Metazoa; Arthropoda; Arachnida; Araneae; Nephilidae
Description: tRNA-Tyr
Rfam family: tRNA
About the family: Transfer RNA (tRNA) molecules are approximately 80 nucleotides in length. Their secondary structure includes four short double-helical elements and three loops (D, anti-codon, and T loops). Further hydrogen bonds mediate the characteristic L-shaped molecular structure. tRNAs have two regions of fundamental functional importance: the anti-codon, which is responsible for specific mRNA codon recognition, and the 3' end, to which the tRNAs corresponding amino acid is attached (by aminoacyl-tRNA synthetases). tRNAs cope with the degeneracy of the genetic code in two manners: having more than one tRNA (with a specific anti-codon) for a particular amino acid; and 'wobble' base-pairing, i.e. permitting non-standard base-pairing at the 3rd anti-codon position.
Source: RNAcentral